This 440-nucleotide long non-coding RNA is filed under the name Mustela putorius furo (domestic ferret). Its description in RNAcentral is "lncRNA (ENSMPUG00000028961.1)". Lineage: Eukaryota; Metazoa; Chordata; Mammalia; Carnivora; Mustelidae. The record is from RNAcentral.
UUAAAGAGUAAUCUCAUCGAGUUCUCCAACUAUGUAGAGAAAACACUCCUAUAGGCCAAGAGAAGCCAUUCCAUGGUGCACCUUGCCUGGAUCAUGGUUGAUAUAUUCAGCUACACAUCCCCUCAACCACCUCUCACCAAAAUGACUAGAAGGAGGAACACCCAACUGAAGAAAAAUUCAGAGACUGUGCUCUCUCCAUCAGAACUAUUGGAUAUGGACAUAAAGGGAAAAGAAAACAAAACCACCUUCUGGGGUGUUGGGCUGGGAUGUUGGGUUCUGAGAAGUUGAGCAGUUGGGAAGAAUGACCUUUCUGUCUCCAUAAGUUCCUCCAGUCCUCUAUGAAACACCUGCUUUACCCAGGCCAGACCAUUAUCAGAAUCACUAAGAAGGCUGUUCCCCCCGACCAAUAGUUUGGUAAUAAAACAGUUACCAAAUGCUCC